Molecule: long non-coding RNA, 441 nt
Organism: Helianthus annuus (common sunflower)
Lineage: Eukaryota; Viridiplantae; Streptophyta; Magnoliopsida; Asterales; Asteraceae
Exons: 3
Source: RefSeq, a predicted model, not a curated record
AUUGUGUGUCUGGCUUGUACAAAACGCAGGGGAGCGACCAGGAACCCUCACCAAACCCUAACUCACAUAAAUCUCACAAAUUGAAGAUCAAAUUCGUCCCCAAAUCAAAAUCCGAACAUAGAAUAGUGAUCUCCGUUACGAGGGGGUCAUAAGGAAACCGGAGCGUCAAGUGGACAAGCCGGUGGCGACGUGCGUUUAAAGGGUGUACUUUAAAGGUGAUGAUGGACUUAAUCCGGAUGGCGAUCAAGCAUCUUUUCAAAAACCGAACACAAUCUUUUGAAGCUUCCGCGAUUAGUUAACUUUGUUUAAGACAAUGUUUAUGGCGUUGACACUUUAAUAUUUGUUUUGGGGUUGUUAAACUAGUAGUAGUUAUCUAGAAGGCUAACUUUAUAAAAACUUCCGUUUGGUAUGAAAUAUAAAUUGAAGUUUUUGGUUUAAAAA